GAUGAACGCUGGCGGUGUGCCUAACACAUGCAAGUCGAGCGAAAAGACGAGGAGCUCGUUCUCUUGACGUUAGCGGCGGACGGACGAGUAAGACGUGGAUAACAUUCUACUUAUUCUGGGAUAAUAACGGGAAACAGCUGCCACUACUGGAUCAUACAUCGUACGGCUUGGUUCAAUAGAUCUUGAGGGCUUUGCCGACUCAUUUAGCCGGUUCCGCGUCGCAUUAGCUAGUUGGUAAGGUAACGGCAUACCAAGGCAACGAUGCGUAGCCGAGCUGAGAGGAUGAUCAGCCACACUGGAACUGAGACACGGUCCAGACUCCUACGGGAGGCAGCAGUGGGGAAUCUUCCACAAUGGGCGAAAGCCUGACGGAGCAACACCGCGUGGGUGAUGAAGGUCUUCGGGUCGUAAAGCUCUGUUAUUGGGAAAGAACAGAAGUAUAAGAAACUAUGCACGUCUUGACGGUACCUAAACAGAAAGCCACGGCUAACUUCGUG
Molecule: ribosomal RNA, 497 nt
Filed under: uncultured bacterium
Lineage: Bacteria
Description: partial 16S ribosomal RNA
Rfam family: Bacterial small subunit ribosomal RNA
Source: RNAcentral